GUCAGUUCUCGGUGACGCACCCCGGAAUCGGGCUCCCUCUCUCUGUUUCCGGGUGUGUCAUCCGAGAACUGCA
Molecule: non-coding RNA, 73 nt
Organism: Myotis brandtii (Brandt's bat)
Lineage: Eukaryota; Metazoa; Chordata; Mammalia; Chiroptera; Vespertilionidae
Source: Rfam